RNAcentral lists this ribosomal RNA (261 nucleotides) under uncultured archaeon. RNAcentral describes it as "partial 16S ribosomal RNA". It matches the Rfam family "Archaeal small subunit ribosomal RNA", at positions 748 to 1008 of the family's 1478-position model. The record is from RNAcentral.
CAGCCCUAAACGAUGCGCGUUAGGUGUAUCGGUGACCACGAGUCACCGAGGUGCCGAAGGGAAACCGUGAAACGUGCCGCCUGGGAAGUACGGUCGCAAGGCUGAAACUUAAAGGAAUUGGCGGGGGAGCACCACAACGGGUGGAGCUUGCGGUUUAAUUGGAUUCAACGCCGGAAAUCUUACCGGGACCGACAGCAACAUGAAGGCCAGGCUGAAGACUUUGCCGGAUUAGCCGAGAGGUGGUGCAUGGCGUCAGUGACU